This is a long non-coding RNA of Tachysurus vachellii, 753 nucleotides long. RefSeq lists it as uncharacterized. The transcript is spliced from 4 exons. The record is from RefSeq and is a predicted model, not a curated record. Lineage: Eukaryota; Metazoa; Chordata; Actinopteri; Siluriformes; Bagridae.
GGACAGGAUGGAGCUCAGUCCACUGCCUGUGAUGCUCUGUGCUGACACUGAUGUGACUUAUGCUGAGAUUGAACUGAAACCAAUGCUAAAAACAAAGAGAAUAAAAGAGACAACCAAUGUGGGUGAUGAGACCGUAUACUCAGAGGUGCGGAAGCACAUGAAGUGAGCCGUGUGUCUAUGUACACUGAUGAAGCCAGUGUCAUCAAAUAGAUUGUGUUUGCCUUCUGUGUUUUUGCCUAAAAUAUUCAGCUGUUGAUCUUUUAAUUUGAUAUUUUAUUGGAUGAAGCCACUUGAUGGAGUAAUUCAUUGGCUAUCUUUAUGCCAUGUUGUAUGGCUACUUGUACAUUAUCUGUACAGCUCUGAGCUGGUUUUGGAACAGCUGGGGACCAUUUUGUCCAUAAUGGUGGAAUUGGUCUGCUCUUCAGUAGAGUAGCAUUAACAUGUAAUUUAUGUCAGGAUUCUGUUGCACAGUUAUGCCAAAAUGUGGCUAAAUUAAACACAUUAGUUUGGUUUUUAAGAAUUUGUUUGACUGCCAGUACUUUAUGUCAAAUAACCAAUGAACUGUAGUUUGCGUGUAAAAGCUUAUCACUCCUAGAGUGUAUAAUGAUGUACAGUAUAAAGUCUAUAUAGUGUAUAUUUGGGUUGAACAUUUCCUGCUGGGUAUAAACAUACAAAGCAUUUAUUUGAAAGAAAUUUGGGUAUUGAAUCAAUGAUGCAAUUUAUAUCACAAAAUGGCUCUAAAAAUUUUGCAUA